This 1282-nucleotide ribosomal RNA is filed under the name metagenome. Its description in RNAcentral is "bacterial LSU rRNA". It matches the Rfam family "Bacterial large subunit ribosomal RNA", at positions 1552 to 2821 of the family's 2925-position model. The record is from RNAcentral.
UAGGCUGAGACGUGAUGCCGAGCCGAUUCAGGUGAAGUCAGUGAUCCUAUGCUGCCGAGAAAAGCCUCUAGCGAGUUCUUAGCGGCCCGUACCCCAAACCGACACAGGUGGUCAGGUAGAGAAUACCAAGGCGACGGGCGAACUGUGGUUAAGGAACUCGGCAAAUUACCCCCGUAACUUCGGGAGAAGGGGGGCCGGACACGUGAAGCAACACGCUUGUGGAGCGUGGUAUGGCCGCAGAGACCAGGGGGAAGCGACUGUUUACUAAAAACACAGGUCCAUGCGAAGAAGUAAUUCGAUGUAUAUGGACUGACGCCUGCCCGGUGCUGGAACGUUAAGGGGACCUGUUAGCUCUUCGGGGCGAAGCGGAGAACUUAAGCGCCAGUAAACGGCGGUGGUAACUAUAACCAUCCUAAGGUAGCGAAAUUCCUUGUCGGGUAAGUUCCGACCUGCACGAAUGGCGUAACGACUUCCCUACUGUCUCAACCACAGGCCCGGCGAAAUUGCAGUACGAGUAAAGAUGCUCGUUACGCGCGGCAGGACGGAAAGACCCCGGGACCUUUACUAUAGCUUGACAUUGGUAUCUGAGUUAAUUUGUGUAGGAUAGGUGGGAGCCUGUGAAGCUCGUACGCCAGUACGGGUGGAGGCAAUCUUGAAAUACCACUCUGGUUGAUUCGGGUAUCUAACUUCGGACCGUGAUCCGGUUCAGGGACAGUGUCUGGUGGGUAGUUUAACUGGGGCGGUUGCCUCCUAAAGAGUAACGGAGGCGCCCAAAGGUUCCCUCAGCCUGGUUGGCAAUCAGGUGUUGAGUGUAAGUGCACAAGGGAGCUUGACUGUGAGACUGACAGGUCGAGCAGGGACGAAAGUCGGGACUAGUGAUCCGGCACCGGCAUGUGGAAGCGGUGUCGCUCAACGGAUAAAAGGUACCCCGGGGAUAACAGGCUGAUCUUCCCCAAGAGUCCAUAUCGACGGGAUGGUUUGGCACCUCGAUGUCGGCUCGUCGCAUCCUGGGGCUGUAGCAGGUCCCAAGGGUUGGGCUGUUCGCCCAUUAAAGCGGUACGCGAGCUGGGUUUAGAACGUCGUGAGACAGUUCGGUCCCUAUCCGCCGUGCGCGUAGGAUACUUGAGAAGGGCUGUCCCUAGUACGAGAGGACCGGGACGGACGAACCUCUGGUGUGCCAGUUGUCCCGCCAGGGGCACGGCUGGUUAGCUACGUUCGGAAGGGAUAACCGCUGAAAGCAUCUAAGCGGGAAGCUCGCUUCAAGAUGAGGUAUCCCACCCAC